Molecule: ribosomal RNA, 313 nt
Filed under: Planctomycetaceae bacterium
Lineage: Bacteria; Pseudomonadati; Planctomycetota; Planctomycetia; Planctomycetales; Planctomycetaceae
Description: bacterial LSU rRNA
Rfam family: Bacterial large subunit ribosomal RNA
Source: RNAcentral
UUAAAGUGGUACGUGAGCUGGGUUUAAACCGUCGUGAGACAGGUUGGUCCGUAUCUGGUGUGGGCGUACGAAACUUGAGGGAUAUUCUCUUUAGUACGAGAGGAUUUGGAGGGACGCACCUCUGGUGUUCCUGUUGUCACGCCAGUGGCAUCGCAGGGUAGCUAUGUGCGGUUGUGAUAAACGCUGAAAGCAUAUAAGCGUGAAGCCAUUCCCAAGAUAAGGUUUCGUUUGACUCCCCUUGAAGACCACGAGGUUGAUAGGCUGGCGGUGUAAGGCGUGAGAGCGUCUGAGCUGACCGGUACUAAUGGAGGAA